RNAcentral lists this unclassified non-coding RNA (240 nucleotides) under soil metagenome. RNAcentral describes it as "partial contains 5.8S ribosomal RNA, internal transcribed spacer 2, and large subunit ribosomal RNA". The record is from RNAcentral.
AACGGUCUAUACCUGCGGUACCUGCGGAAGGAUCAUUACAGAGUGUUCUACCCCCUUGUAAAAUGGUGGGUUUAACCUCCCGUCCUUUGCCAGACCCCCCCUUUCGUUGGGGGGCCUUUCAAACCUUUCUGCUUCGGCGGGGUUACCCGUCGGAACACCCUCAAAAAUUCUUGGUCAAAACUGUUCGGUCCGAGAAACUUAUGAAAAUUGAAGCAAAACUUUUAACAACGGAUCUCUAGA